This 1362-nucleotide unclassified non-coding RNA is filed under the name uncultured Neocallimastigales. Its description in RNAcentral is "partial contains internal transcribed spacer 1, 5.8S ribosomal RNA, internal transcribed spacer 2, and large subunit ribosomal RNA". The stretch from base 592 to 1362 matches the Rfam family "Eukaryotic large subunit ribosomal RNA", at positions 1 to 623 of the family's 3401-position model. The record is from RNAcentral. Lineage: Eukaryota; Fungi; Neocallimastigomycota; Neocallimastigomycetes; Neocallimastigales.
AAAAUAAUCCUACCCUUUGUGAAUUUUGUUUGUUUGAAUAAUUUUUUUUUAAAAAAUUAUUGGAGUCUUUCCCUUUAGGUUUGCUUUUGAGUUUGUAAAAGAAUUCGAAAACAUCUAAAGGGGAUGGUCAAUAAUUUUUUUGAAAAAAGACAUUUUUUAAAAUUAAACUUUUUGUAUUCAUUUGUCUAAAAAUUAUUUUUAUAAUAUAAAAACAACUUUUGACAAUGGAUCUCUUGGUUCUCGCAACGAUGAAAACGCAGCAAAAUGCGAUAAGUAGUGUGAAUUGCAGAAUACGUGAAUCAUCGAAUCUUUGAACGCAUAUUGCACUUUUUUAGUUUACUAAAAAAGUAUGUCUGUUUGAGUAUCAGUAAAAUAUUCUCAUAAAAAUCAUUGUGUAUUUUUAUGGUUAUGAGUGUUUUACAACGAUACAAGUUGUUUCACUUUAAAUUUUUUUUUAAUAUUGAAAUUUUUCUAAUUUUAAUAAUUAAAAUUGGAUAAAAUUUUCCCGUCAAAAGGAAUAACCUAAACAAUUUUAAAUGAUUAAUUUUAGCAAAAUUUUCGAAAAAAAGGAAAAUUUUUAUUAAAAUAACUUGAUCUCAAAUCAGAUAAGAGUACCCGCUGAACUUAAGCAUAUCAAUAAGCGGAGGAAAAGAAACUAACAAGGAUUCCCUUAGUAACGGCGAGUGAAGCGGGAAGAGCUCAAAUUUGAAAUCUUCAAGGUUUUACCUUGACGAAUUGUAGUUUAAAGAAGUGUUUUCUGCUGAAGUUUUGGUAAAAGUUCUUUGGAAUAGGACAUCAUAGAGGGUGAGAAUCCCGUAUUUGACCAUUAUUUUCAGCUUUGUGAUACACUUUCAAAGAGUCGGAUUGUUUGGGAAUGCAGUCCAAAAUGGGUGGUAAAUUUCAUCUAAAGCUAAAUAUUGCGAGAGACCGAUAGCGAACAAGUACCGUGAGGGAAAGAUGAAAAGAACUUUGAAAAGAGAGUUAAACAGUACGUGAAAUUGUCAAAAGGGAAGCGUUGACACCAGUGUUGUUUUCUCGAAAAUCAAUUAAAAAUGGCUCGAUUUUGUAUUGCUGAGACCUUAAAAGCUCACUGUACAUUUUUCGUGUCUUUUUUAAUGCACUUUUCGUUUAACAAGUCAACAUCAGUUUCUUUUGUUGUAAAAGGGUCACUGGAAGGUAGCUUUCUUUUCGGAGAAAGUGUUUAUAGCCUUUGGCCUCUGCAAUCGAGAGACUGAGGUCUGCAGCGUAGACUCUUCGGGUUAGAUACAUUUGUGCUAAGUUAUAGCUUUUUAUAGACAACUUGUUGACUAUAAUUAGUCUUGUAGCUUACUCGCUUAUGCUAUUUUACCUACGCUUAGGAUG